GUCUCUAAGCAAUGGAUGUCUUGGCUCCUCACACGAUGAAGAACGUGGCAUAAUGUGUUAAGUAACCGGAGUUGCAAACAUCAUGACAGGUUAAUCUUUGAAUGCAAAUUGCGCUAAACUCGAUCUCGGUCGAG
This 134-nucleotide ribosomal RNA is filed under the name Trichomonas vaginalis G3. RNAcentral describes it as "5.8S ribosomal RNA". It matches the Rfam family "5.8S ribosomal RNA", at positions 1 to 130 of the family's 154-position model. Rfam says of the family: 5.8S ribosomal RNA (5.8S rRNA) is a component of the large subunit of the eukaryotic ribosome. It is transcribed by RNA polymerase I as part of the 45S precursor that also contains 18S and 28S rRNA. The record is from Rfam by way of RNAcentral. Lineage: Eukaryota; Parabasalia; Trichomonadida; Trichomonadidae.